Long non-coding RNA from Dendronephthya gigantea, 371 nucleotides. RefSeq lists it as uncharacterized. The record is from RefSeq and is a predicted model, not a curated record. The transcript is spliced from 5 exons. NCBI's taxonomy places the organism in Eukaryota, Metazoa, Cnidaria, Anthozoa, Malacalcyonacea, Nephtheidae.
AUGAACGGAAUCAAAUCCAAAGGCGAAACAGUUCGGUAUACAAAUGAAAAUGUUCUUGAAUCAUGUAAAACUUCAAAUUUAUUCAAGAAUGUAUUAAAUUAUCCAGAAAGUAUAAGCUUGGAGUUAUCAUUAAAAAGUGCCUUGCACCAGAUAUUUUCAAUAAUUAGCUAUCGAGACCAUCCUCAGUUGUUCGGGCUGGAAUACACAAGCGGUCAGCUAAGAAAUUACUCGUCUCCCGACAGGGAUAUAUCAUUGGCUGGUUAGCUACACGGGGUUAGAGGCAGUGGAAAUGGAGAUGUUUGUGUAAAAACGACCCCAACGAAGAGACGGUUAUCGUUGGGGUCCAUUGUAUAACGUUGUUGACGAAGAAG